GAUGAACGCUGGCGGCGUGCCUAAUACAUGCAAGUCGAGCGAACGGACGAGAAGCUUGCUUCUCUGAUGUUAGCGGCGGACGGGUGAGUAACACGUGGAUAACCUACCUAUAAGACUGGGGUAACUUCGGGAAACCGGAGCUAAUACCGGAUAAUAUUUUGAACCGCAUGGUUCAAAAGUGAAAGACGGUCUUGCUGUCACUUAUAGAUGGAUCCGCGCUGCAUUAGCUAGUUGGUAAGGUAACGGCUUACCAAGGCAACGAUGCAUAGCCGACCUGAGAGGGUGAUCGGCCACACUGGAACUGAGACACGGUCCAGACUCCUACGGGAGGCAGCAGUAGGGAAUCUUCCGCAAUGGGCGAAAGCCUGACGGAGCAACGCCGCGUGAGUGAUGAAGGUCUUCGGAUCGUAAAACUCUGUUAUUAGGGAAGAACAUAUGUGUAAGUAACUGUGCACAUCUUGACGGUACCUAAUCGGAAAGCCACGGCUAACUACGUG
Molecule: ribosomal RNA, 497 nt
Filed under: uncultured bacterium
Lineage: Bacteria
Description: partial 16S ribosomal RNA
Rfam family: Bacterial small subunit ribosomal RNA
Source: RNAcentral